UGGAAAACCAGACAAAAACUGAGUGUACAACAGCAAGUUAUUUCAUGAAGAUAAAAGUUAGAGAGUUUCUUACUGAUGGAAGAUCUAUGGUCACACCGAAAACCUCAGCUCAGCCGUCUCCUAAAGCUUUCACCUAAAGUCAGCAGGCUCCUGAACUACCUUAUGAUCCACAGAUCCACUCCUGGAUAUAUAUCUGGAGAAAACUCUAAUUUUAAAAGACACAUUCACCCCAAUAUUUAUAGCACUAAAUGGAAGUGCUGUAAGUGGAAGCAAUCUAAAUGUCCAUCAACAGAAGAAUGGAUAAAGCAGAUGUGACAUAUACAUAUACACACAAUGGGCUAUAACUCGGACAUAAAAAAGGAUGAAAUAAUGCCAUUUGCAGCAACAUGGAUGGA
Molecule: long non-coding RNA, 395 nt
Filed under: Capra hircus (goat)
Lineage: Eukaryota; Metazoa; Chordata; Mammalia; Artiodactyla; Bovidae
Description: lncRNA (ENSCHIG00000001305.1)
Source: RNAcentral